GAGCGCGGAGGUGACGGCGCCAGAGAAGAAGGUUGAGCGCGGAGGUGACGGCGCCGGAGAAGAAGGUAGAGCGCGAAGGGACUGAACCGGAAGCCAUGGUUUGGGUUCAGAUGGGUUUGCUGGGAUCGAAUUCGAAGAGAGGGAGGCUACAGGAGGGAGGAACGAAUUCAAAGAGAGGGAGGCUACGGGAGAGAGAGGAAGGGUAGACAGGGGAAUUAAUGAAAAAGAUGAGGGGUAUUGUUGUCCAAAAAAUUAUAAAUUUGUGUUCCAUGGGAUGGAACAACCCGUUCCAGGGGGGUAUGUGGAACCAAAAUUUAACCCAUUUUCGUUCCGUGGGACAGGCGUUCCACACAAUUUAAGCACACCAAACGUGGGACGGAACGCAUCCGUCCCACUCUGUUCCGUCCCGUCCCACGUACCAAACGCACCCUCUGUGAACAUCUCUAUUUAUUAAAGAUAAAAUGACAAAAACAUCCUCAAUUAUUGUCAAAUUAUUUUGGCCAAUUGUUUAUUAAAUUAAGGGUAUUUUUGUCAUUUUUGUCCUUGUUUAAUAUAGAUUUUCAAGCAAUGACCAAAAUGAUUUACGGUGGACAAACUCAGGAACCACUUCUAUCGAUUUCAAAUCUUCGAGACUAAAGUAAGGAGUUAUAACAAUCUCAAAUACCAGUUUGGCUAAAAUGCCUUUUUUCCAUUAGUUAGGAUUUGUGCUUUCAAUUACUCUAUUUCACAAUAAUUUAUGUUGUGUUUUGAUAAAUUUAAACUAGCAGAUGCCCACACACAUUGUGUGUUAACAAUUUCAUUUCAUUUUGUUUUUUAUUAUGAAGUGGGAUAAGUUUUUAAAAUUCUAAAAAAAAAUCAGUUAUGAGAAUUAGGAUAAUGAUGUUCUUCUAACGUGGGAAUAGCUUUUAUUUUAUUUUUAGUUUUUAAAUACGGCAUGUUAUACUAACUUGACUAUGAGGUUGCUGUAAAAACAGCAAAAUUUAUGUUCAUGUAAUUACUAAAUUGCCUGUAUUUUUUACUUGAUUUCAGUUUGGUGAGGGGGUUAAAAUGAUAAUUUCUUGAAGUUUUGGUUGACAAACUGGGUUUUAUUAAUAGGUAGUGUAGAUUAAGAUAAGUUAUUUUAUACUUAAAGAAACUAAUAAGUUUCACAUUAAAAUCGGUUAUUUUAUACUUAAACAACAAUGUAUUAUAUUGCUACAAAGGAUGUUAAUAAAAGUGUUUUUACUAGAACUGCUUCUAAUCAUGUUUUUUAAGACACAAUUUCAAACAAGCCCGUUAUAUCUAUUUAUAACCAUCUGAGUUUAAAUGAGUAAAAAUGCCACAAAACCGAGUUUAAAAGAAAAUUGACAAGGCAUGUACCAAAAAUAAAAAAUAUAUAUUUGGGUUUAAUGGGCUUCGAAGAAAGAAAUGACUUGGCAUUACUACGAGUGGUACUCAAGUUUCGUCUAUAGACUAGACACCCAUUAAUUUUAUUUAAAAGUACAAUGACUCUUAUACUCGUGUAUAAAAAAACUACCAAAAUGAGCUUAAUGAUUUCUUAAAGAAAACAAUUAUUUUCUUUGGACAAUGUAGUCACCAAACGACUGAUGAAUUUCACGACUGUUGAAUUUUACUUUAUCGUGCUUAUUUAAUUCACGUUGUCAUGCUUCUCUGAAAGUGUACUCAAAUAGCACGAUGAAAAACAUAGCGACAAUCUUGAAAACAACAACGUAAGUUUUUUGCAUUUACUUAUUCUAUUCUUAAGUUCAUAUUCUUUGUGAUGAUGUUGGAUACACCAUAGUUUGUAAGAACCUUGUUGGAUUAAUACCCCAAAUCCAGAUGGUAUGCUCUGCAAUCAAAUUGACAUUUUUUUUAAAGGAAUCAAAUAAAGAAACAAAUUUCAAAUCGAGUCUUCUUAGAAGUUUAGUAAAUUAUUUUGAGUGUCUAAAGAAAUGUGUGAAAGUAAAUUGAGUUUCCAAAGAAAGAAAAAAAGUUGUCCAAAGACAAAACUUGAGUGUACGGAGAACCACUCCAAUACUUUACCCAAAAACAAAUGAGGUGGGAUCUGAGAUGGGUUGCAAUACCGAACAGGAUGAGGCAAUUGGGCUUUUUGAUAUAUUUAGAAGGAUUUAGCUACCAACCCGACUUCUAACCUUGUUUGCUUUGGAAAAUGGUUUUCACACUUCCUUUGUACACAGUACACUAUUGUUUUUGUUUAUCUUUGUCUUCGAUUUUUUUUUUUUUUCAUUUAAAUGUCAAGGAUAAACAAAGUUGUGUAAUGGGAGAAAAAAGUAAACAUGAAUUAGUUUUUUACUUUGUGUUGUUCGUUCUCCUUUUGUAUUUACAUAUGCAUAUCACAGUUACAAAAUAAAAUAAAAUACGAUAAAACUUAUAUAUAUAUAUAUAUAUAUAUAAGUGAAAGAGGAUGGAAAACUAAUACCAAAAUAAUUAUUUGAAAUUUAUAUAUUGAUCUUAAUGGUAAUAUUAUUAUCGAGAUUUUAUUUGGAAGAGAAUUGUUUAUUUGUUAAUACAGAUCAAUAUGAUUCUGUGUUGUCAAUAGUAUUUGUGUGUCAUGUGUGUUUUUCUUAUAAAGUAAUGUUUAUGCAACGAUUUGUCAAUAUGCAAUGAUAUUUAUCAAUAACUGAUUGUGUGUUGUCAAUACACGCAUAAUAUAUUUGAUGGUGUAUUUUUCUUAUACAAUAUUUAUACUAGGGUAAAUUGCCAAAAUGGUCCCUGAGAUUCCAAAUCGAUAAAAGUGGUCCCUAAGAUUGUCCACCAUCCAUCAUUUUGGUCAUUCUAUUAAAAAUUCUGUUAAGUGUCCGGAGCUCUUGGCCCGAAGUUUGAGCAAUUUUCAAAGCUUCGUAACUCAAUCGUUUCUUAACCAAAUUCGACCCAUAAUAUAUCAAAAUUAAGAUAGGAAAGUGUAGAAUAAGAUUAUACCUAUUUCAAAGCCCAAUGGUUACCGGAGAUUACUGGAAAAUAGCCUCAAAAUUGACUGGUCCGAGUGAAAACUUGAAAACUCGCUGGAAACUGGGUAAACGUUAAACGUUCAUAACUUCUUCAUUACUCAACGAAAUCAAGUGAUUUAAAAACUAAAAUCAUACUUCACGAUGAGACGAAGAGAAUGGUACCUUUUUAGAUGGAUAAAUCUCCGUGGUUUGGCCGGAAAACGGCUCGAAAUUGGCUAACUCGAGACCAAGACAUCCACUUUUGAGCCGUUUUUCGGCCAAACCAAGGCGAGUUAGCCAUCGAAAAAGGUACCAUUCUCUUCGUCUCGUUGAGAAGUAUGAUUUUCGUUUUUGAAUCACUUGAUUUCGUUGAGUAUUGAAGAAGUUAUGAACGUUUAAAGUUUACCUAUUUUCCGGCGAGUUUUCAAGUUUUCACUCGGACCAGUCAACUUUGAGGCUAUUUUCUGGUAAUCUCUGGCAAACAUUGGGCUUUGAAAUAGGUAUAAUAUUAUUCUACACUUUCCUAUCUUCAUAUUGAUAUAUUAUGGGUCGAAUUUGGUUAAUAAACGAUUGAGUUAUGAAGCUUUGAAAAUUGCCUAAAUUUCCGGCCAAGAGCUCCAAGAAACUUAACGGAGUUUUUAACGGAAUGACCAAAAUGAUGGAUGGUGCACAAUCUCAAGGACCACUUUUAUCGAUUUGGAAUCUCAGGGACCAAUGUGAUGAGUUAUGCAAAUCUCAGGGACUAUUUUGGCGAUUUACCCUUUAUACUAAGGUGUAGGGAUUUUGCAUGUAGUCCAAUAUCUUUGUGGAUAGGAUGUUGAGUUUCCACUCAUGCGUCAUGGAUUUGAAACUCUCUCUUUCCUAACUUAUUGUAAUGGUUUCGAACCCUCCCCCUCCCCUUAAAGAAAAAGAAAAAAGAAAAAGAAAAACUAAGGUGUAGGAAGUUUGGGUUAAGCAUACAACGUACAAAGUCAUUUUAGUGAACUCAUUAUGACUAUGUAUGAGAAUUAAGCUUAAGACCUACCAGUUACAAGUAGAGAAAAACAUUACAACAAGUAAUAUAUUUUUGUAUUUUUAAUCACCAUAAAAAUUUAAAGACGACCUAAUUCUUUAAUGCUCACAAAUUUUGAGUGAUGACUCAAGUUUUGAACCACAAAAUUAAUGAACAAGCAUAUAUAUAUAUUUAACCUUUUGGGUUACAAAUUAUAGAACAUAGCAGUUGUAGUGUCCGUUAACAAUAAGCAAACAUUUGUUGGCCUAACUAUUUUGAAAGAUUUUAUGCUCUAUUCACAAUGAAUGUAUGGAUUAAGUUAAACCAUUCCUAAACCACAAUUAUCAACCAUCGUACGUACUCUCUUUCUUAUCCUACUUAAGUUGCCAAAUAAAUACAUGAUAUAUAUCGAUAAGGCAGUAGUUAAAUACCUAAUUUAAUUAAUAUCUUUAGCUCCAUACCAUGAUGUGUGGUCAAGAAGAUUAAACUCAAAGAUAACCAUUUUAGUACGUUUUCUAAAACUAUUUACUGAUGAUUUGUAGCCAAAUACACAAUACACUUGGCAGCCGUAUGUGGGAUGGAUGACAAAAUGUACAAACCAAAAACACCCUGAGUUGAAAAAUCUUUUGCACUAAUUUAUGACAUUAUAUUAGUGAUUUUGCAUGCCUUCCCAAUAAAUUAUGGUUAAAACCAUUUCACGUCGGAAUAGACCAUUGAGGUUAUGAACACAAGUUAUGUAGUAUUUAAGGGGUGUGAUAUCCACAUACCCCUUUUUACUUCUCCCACACUCUUUUGAUUUUCGGCCGUUGGAUCGGAUGAAUUGAAGAAAAUCAACAGACAAAAAUUAACAAGGGGUGUGUGAGAAGUAAAAACGGAUGUGUGGAUAGCACACCCUUACCCUAUAUUAAUUUACGUGUUCUAAUCAGAAUAAAAGACAUAGCUAAUAUAUCUUAUUUUAAAAAAGAAAAAAAUUAAAUUUACUUAUUAUAAUUUGAGUCGAAUAAUAACAUCAAAAUACUAGUAUUCUGAAUAGACUCAAAAAUUGCUCUUCGAAGAAGAGAAAAAGUCAAAACAAUUUGUUUAAGGUUUUCUUGGCCGCUAGAGAAGAACAAACUUUGAAGCUCAAAGUAAAAUAAAGUGCCAAAAUUAUGUGGCAGGUGUGUUUUCUAUUCCAAAUUAAUCAAAACCCAUCCCUCAACAAUCCAACAAGUUAGGAUACAUCUGACGACAACUCAAGGGUUUUAUUGAAGCUCUCAUUACUUAAGUCGCACGCUUCAGCAUGUUCAAUGAGAGACGGACACGUAGACACCAUGAACAAAUUACAAAAGUGCUUCUCUCUCUUCUAGGGUUAUAGUUCUUAAACCCGUAAAACUUUUGGAUUAAGACCUAACACAGGGCGAAAAACCCUAACAAAUACAGUGAACCAAAUUUUCUUCGAUGUCAUGGACAAACAAACAUACCGGUAUUCUAAUCCCACUGGUCCUGGUGCAUGAUAUAAGUGUGGAUGCUUCAUCUUUAUUUGAUUGAAUUAAUGUUAAUUUGCCUAGGCUAUAUCUUAUCCUUUACGUGACCCUUAAGCCAAUCAAAGCUUUAGAAAUAAAGGACAAGAUAUACACUAUUACAUAAAUCGAAACUGUAUUUUCUCAAAGAACAAUGUUAGAUAGUUCAGAUUGGCAAAUGAUGUGUACAUAUCAUGUCAAUUAAUGAAUUUACCUCAUCGUAUGUUAGUUAUGUGAAUCAUUUGCUACAUCAUAUUGUUCACUAAUGUAGUAUAACAAUGUGAUUUCCCUAAUAUUAUUCUUUCUCAAAAAUCGUGGAGUGUUCAAAUGAAUACGCAAGGUGCAAGCAUAUAUAUAUAUAUUAUAUGUCAAAAGUGGAUAACGUACGUUUGCAUGGUGACAUGCAUGAGCCAUCCCAUUUUAAUUGGGUGACAUACAUACAUACAUACAUAUAUAUAUAUAUAUAUAUAUAUAUAUAUAUAUAUAUUAUACUAUGCUAUGAUCAACACAUAAAACAUACGAUAAAUAUAUAUUUUAUUAAGUAAAACUAUUUGGACCAAUCAGAGCAUGUAUAUCUAAAUAGCACCAUUCUAUAUUAUUGCAAGGAUAAAAUAAGUGUGCAUAUCUCAAUCCGAGCAUAUGCCCCGCACGUUAGAGAGUAAAAGUUGGGAAAAUCAUGUUCCGGUCUGUAUAUAGGGCAUGGUUCUUAUUAAGAGAUGUGUAUUAUAUUGUACUUGAUUCAAAACCACAAUCCUAGCGAUUUUUACCUCUCGAAUAUAAAGUUCAAAUGUGAUAAGGGAUUGACUGAUACCAAUCGAGUAUUAAUUUACAAUACCUUUUAUAUUGACAAUAGAUCAACCACUCAAAUACCGACAAUGUAUUAGGUGUUCUGGAUUAUUAUAUCUAGUACCCAAAAAAAUUUCCCAAUACGAAGUUUAAAAGGAUUCAAUUGAAAUUUUGAAAGUGUUUAAAAUUUUAUGAGUAUUCAGUCUAAAUUUUGAACAAGUUUUAUAGAACUCUAUACAAAUCCAAGUGCCUUAAUCAAUUAGAAUUUUAAGAGAUUUUGAAAAAUUCCAUAAAAAUCUUACUAGUACAAUGAGGAUUUUUAAAAAGUAUGAAGGUUCGGGUGUAUAAUCAUGAACUAAUUUUAAUUUUUUUUUAAAUAAUAAUUUUGGUAGAUCUUCCAAGAAUUUCUUAGUUUAUUUUAACCCUUGGCAAAUCAUGCUUCUAUAGAGUCCAUUUAAACCCAUCGAACCUUCAUACAUUUAAACUAUUUCAUGCAUUUAAAAUAGUCUUUUAAAUCCAAAAAGUUGAACCGAAUUAAUCUAUAUUUUUCAAAUAUUAACUAAUACAUGCAACGACUUUAGGUGGUAACAUAAGGGAUGCAUGGCGCAGAAAGUCAUAGACCGGCCAAGAGAUCAUUUCGUCUGAAUCUGUCAAUGUCCGAGAACCCAUACCUCAAGAGCCCUUCCUUAUACAAGACGACACAGUACACAACAACCGCCGCCAAUACCCUUCUCUUCCGCUGCCUAUAAAUACCAACGGAAAUCUCAUGACAUUCUCAUCAAAUUCAAAUCAUCAUCACUUGGAAUACAUCAAAAUCCAUACAUUUCUAGCUACAAACCUAAUUACGUUUCCAAUAUCCCAUCACAUUGCAUUCCUCAAAAAUAUUAUCAGCCUUCAGUUGGGGUUUAUUAUCCUUUGUGACCCUUCUGUUUGUAAUUUGUUCGCUUUGAAAGACGAUUUAUUAGGUGUUUCUAGGCCUUGUGUCAUCUUGCAAUUUCUUUUGGUAGUCCCGUAUCUCACCAAAAAAAAUUAUUACCGACCUUUUGGGUUAUUCUGUCUCUCUUUUACACCAAAAAAGAAAGCAUCAAUGGCUUUACAAACACAUUUGUUAUGGUCAUUUGUUGUUCUUUUUGUUGUUUCCUUUGGUACAACUUCAUGUUAUGGUACUAGUUUCCAGGAGGUCAACUCUCUUCAUAGUUACGUUGACCAUGUUGAUAAAGAGUCUGGCUACAAUUCUAGGGCUUAUCCUUCAUACAUGGACACUAUUGAAGGUUUCAAGUUCAUGGAAUUGAUCAGGCCAAGACCUCAGCUCUUCAGUUCAAGGAAGCUCAACAAAAUCACCAGUGGCAUAGCGACAUCAUCAGCUCCGUCCAAAACGAUUAGCGUUGACGAUUUUGGAGCUAAAGGGAAUGGUGCUGAUGACACACAGGUAUAUACAUUAUACAUGAUGGGCUCAUAGGCUUAAUAAUAUCAGUAUAUUCAUAUGGUGAUGCUAACUGUAACAACCUUCUGGUUGCAUUUCUGUUUAUGUGAAAGAUGUGUCUGUAAUGUUUUGUACAAAUUAGUAGUUAGUAAUGCGUAGGUGUAAUUUGGAUCUAACCCAUUAACGAUUUACCGAUCAGUAAAUGUGAUACAACUAGCAACACUUAAGUGUUUAAUUUGGUUGAACCGAAAAAAUAAAAGUUUAUAUAUGAGUUUGUAUAAUAUUGUUCAAUUUUGUUUCUUUGUAUGUGUUGGUUUAGGCAUUUGUGAAGGCAUGGAAGGCAGCUUGUUCUUCCAGUGGAGCAAUAGUUCUUGUGGUGCCACAGAAAAGCUAUCUUGUUGGGCCAAUUGAAUUCUCAGGCCCCUGCAAAUCUCGACUUACAAUGCAGGUAAUUAUUAAUUCAGAUAAUUUGUGUGUUAUCUAUAUGUGAAUGUGAAUUUGAACUAUAAAUUUUGAAGAUUAUAAUUAACUAAUAUUGCUUAAAUAUUUGGACAAAUUCAGAUUUAUGGAACCAUAGAAGCAUCAGAAAACCGAUCAAUCUACAAAGACCUAGACCACUGGCUCAUGUUUGACAACGUCCAAAACGUACUAGUUGUUGGUCCUGGAACCAUCAAUGGCAAUGGAAACAUAUGGUGGAAAAACUCAUGCAAAAGAAAGCCUCAGGUACGUAUGUACUAAUUAAUCAAAUUAUUAGCUUUAAUUAAUACUAAUCAUGUACUAAUUACAAUCUCCUUCAUUGAUUUACAGCCCCCUUGCGGUAAACAAGCCCCCACGGUACGUGUAUAUACGUACUUUUAAUCUAAAUUUUUAUGUGAAUUUUGAUUAAUGAAGCACGAUUAAGUUUGGAACUAAUUAAGGUUGUACAUGCAAUCUGCAGGCUGUGACCUUCAACAGGUGCAAUAACUUGGUGGUGAAGAAUCUGAAGAUCCAAGACGCUCAACAAAUGCAUGUUAGAUUCCAAAACUGCUUCAAUGUUCAAGCUUCCCGUCUCACAGUAACUGCACCUGAGGAUAGCCCCAAUACUGAUGGAAUUCAUGUUACAAAUACCCAGAACAUCACUAUCUCGAGCUCGGUUAUAGGAACAGGUGUGACAUAGCUCGUGAUGCUUUCAUCAUUUUGGUAUUUCGCGUUCGAAAAAUACAUAUGAUCAUCUAUACAUUAAGAUAAAAAAAAUUAAUCCAUAUUAUACAUAAGUUUAACAACAAUUUCUUCAUUUGUGUUUUGAAGGUGAUGACUGUAUUUCUAUUGUAAGUGGGUCUCAAAGAGUUCAAGCCAGAGACAUAACUUGUGGGCCAGGCCAUGGAAUCAGGUAAUUUACAACCCUAGUCUCAAACUUCUUCAAAAAGUCAUUCUGCAAUUUCUCUCGUCAACAUAUAAUCAAUGAUUAUUUUCGUAGAGAGAAGUGUGAGAUGACUUUUUUAUAGUGCUAAUAACAGCUAACCAGUAAAUAUUUCAAUAUAUAUUAAUGGUGGUUUUAAUUUUGUGAUCAGUAUUGGUAGCUUGGGAAAAGACGGCUCAAUAGACCAUGUUUCAGGAGUAUUUGUGAAUGGAGCUAAACUUUCAGGAACCGCCAAUGGACUCAGGAUCAAGACAUGGCAGGGAGGCUCAGGCAGUGCAACCAACAUUGUUUUCCAGAAUGUGCAAAUGAAUGAUGUCACCAACCCCAUCAUAAUCGACCAGAACUACUGUGACCACAUAACCAAAGACUGCAAACAACAGGUAAUAUUAACCAACUAAUUAGUUUCUAAUCAUUCCGUUAAUUUAUCCGGCGACGAAACCCUAAUAACUUUCUUGAUCGUUUAACUUUGUUAUGGCAGAAAUCGGCGGUUCAAGUGAAAAAUGUGUUGUACCAAAACAUUAGAGGAACAGGUGUUAUCGGCGACGCGAUAACGUUUAACUGUAGCCAAAGUGUUCCUUGUCAGGGGAUUGUGCUGCAAAAUAUUCAACUGCAGAAUGGAAGAGCUGAAUGCAACGAUGUUCAGCCUGCUUACAAAGGAGUUGUCUCUCCAAGAUGUUAAAAACUAGAGCUCAUAAUUAAGGGCAUUGUGAAAUAGUUUAUGCAUUCUUGUACCAAAUAGCACAUAAAUAAUUGUUUGUUGGUUGGUUUGUAAUUUUAUGUUUAAUUUGUCAUGUACAUAAACAUAUUCAUAAAGAAAAAGAUACAACCGUGUCUACUUUGUUGGAAGAAGUUCUGCGUUCAAAUAUUGUGAACAAAUGUUGAUAAAAAUAGAAAACAAAGAAAGUUCGAGUCAACUUGGCCCGACUAGCCUAACCCGAGUAACCUCUCUCCGACGAGAGAGCCUUCCAACCAAGGUUUCUCCACCAUAAGGCUCGAAUCGUUACUGUAUUUUGGCUGUGGCCGGGAUUCCUUAUAUCUCUACUUGUAUCCCAGCCGUAUGACACAGCCUGAGAAUGGUUAACUCAACCUUGUCUGAAAUCGGAUUUUCAUUUUCAUUGUCUAAGAGGGCGUGUGUGGAUGGGAAAGAAGUUCGAAGUUGACAGAAAUGAAAGGUUUGCACAAAUGUACGUGUGGCUAUCUGAAGGGUUCAACAGGAGCAGACUCUUCGAGAGAGAGUGCAGCCUUGAAACAUUCAGCAGCCUCUAAUGAAGAAGAUGGCUUACCCUGAGAUUUGUACAGUAUACCAAGGUUAUACCAUGCAGAAUGGUUCGAUCUAUCAAGGUUUAGUGCAUUCAACAGAAGGCUUCGGAUAACUGUGUGAGAGUGGUGUGAGCUGCCGCCAAGAUGUCUGAGGACAACAGCCGUAGAGAUCAAGCUCAGUACAUGGGAGGGGUCAAUAUCCAGAGCUUCUGAAUAUGCUCUUAGAGAUUCUUUAUAGAGGCCCUUCCUUUCAUGAAGUAAACCUGCAAAAUGCACGAAGUUCCACAUGAUUAGAGCAGCAAAAGUUUCCGCAAACACAAAUAUACAUAAAUCCACUUGUUUCUUUCACAAUUGUUAAUGCUUUAAAACCACGAUAACAAAUUAAUUAGUGAGCGAUCUAAUCCUUACUAGACAAGGAAAAUAGAACACUUUAUCAAGAUAUUGAUUACAAAAAGAAAAAAAAAAGAACACAAACACGGUGAUUGUCUGAUUAUACCUGUGGCAUGGCAUCUGUCAGCAGAGUAAGCACUUCUGGAUUUAGAUUUGGCCAGACAAGCCUCAGCAUCACGCCAUUGUGAAAGAUUUAUAUAGAAAUAUGCCAGGUCAUUCCAUAUUUCCAAGUUCAACCUUCCAGAUAAAUCUCUGGUACUCUGUCAUUAACAAAACAAACACGAUUAAUUGCAGUUGAACAAUAUUAUCUGUAAAAUCAUAUCAACGAGAGAUGUCUAAGCUAACAAAAACUGUGUUUAGAAAACAGAUGCAUAAUUAUCCCAACGUUAAUGUCAGUGUAUCAAAAGAAGAUAAUUUCGUGACCAAACACUCACAUCCUAAUCUGAGGACAUGAUUUAUACGCCUACUUCUCCUAUUCCUUUCAAUGAAAAGCUUCAUAAAAAUUUGUAUGAAUAUGAUAUUUCAACUUAGCUGUUAUUCCCUUUCGUUCUCUCAUCACAUCAAGGUUCCAGCAUGCUAACUGGUUGUAAAACCCUUAUUACUAUCAUUUGGUCAGAGACUCAGAGGUUCACGAGUAGCGAUGAUCAUUCCAAAGAAUAAUUUCAGUAUCCAAGGUAUAUGAAAAAAAAUAUCUACUCCCUAAACCGUUGUACAGAUAAAAAAAAAAGGAACCCUGUCUUUCAAAUAGUUUGAUUCAAAUAAAUGUGAAAAUUAAUCAAAUGAUGUCCCUUUGGAAGCUUCUUCCCGUAACCAAAGCUUUUAUUCUCAACUUGAACAAAAGCAAGAAUGUGAGUAUAGGUUGCAAUGGCAUUUUUAAACUGACCCUGGGCAAUUUGAAGUUUGGCUUUGGUUCUCAGUAGUUCUCCUUGUUCCCAUUUCCCUGUCUGAUCCAAAGCAGCCUCUAUGAUCGUUUCAGCAUCCACAAACCGUUUCUGAGCUGACAGUAUUCUGGUCAAUAAUAACCAACCUCUAACAUUACAACCACCUUCCAGCUUUAGCAUUUUCUUUGCACAAUCAAGUGCAGCAUCCAACUCUCUCUGCUCAGCAUAUUCUAGGCUGAGAUGGUAAAGAAAAACAGGGUCACUCAUUGUUGUCAUUCUCCCAGAAGUUUCCAAGGCCUGACGUGCCUCAUCCUGUCUUGUCACUCUCUCACAAUCAGCAAUCGCUGAUUUAGAAUGCACAGAAAGUGAUAUGCCCAACAAACAAGUGGUGGUACUUUUCAAAUGAUCACAUUUACCAUCCAAACUUUCAAGGGCUCUGCAGGCAAAUCCUACCCCUUCUUCUGCAUGACGGGGACUGGGAUUUUCCCCACAUAUCUUCGAUGCCAAUAACAAAGCUGGAAAACACAUUGGAUCCUCGCUCUUAAUCAACAGUUUCCUCAGUAAAUCUAAAGCAACUGAAUCCUCACCUGCUCCAUAGUAGCAGAGAGCUAGCUUGUAAAACCUUUAUUUCCGAUCCAUAAACCCAGGUAGCAGUUCUUCAACUUGAUUAGCUAAAGCCAUGGUAUCCCCUGCUACAGACAGAGCAAACGAAAGAUGAUCUAAGAUUGAUGGAUCCCAUUGAAUUUUUUGAAGAGAAACUUUUCUAAGUAGUAUCAUUAGCAGAAGAAUAGCUUCUUCUAUACUGUUUCUGGGUAUGAAUGAACUGUCCAUUUGGAAGCGUAGCUUUGGGGCGCUUGCUUCACACCCACUAUACAGAAGCAAAACAGCAAAGUCCUUCUGAAUCUUUGCAGUAGUUUCAACCUCAAGGUUCCGGUUAUGGAGUAAAGCUCGUCGGUAAGACAAGAUAGCUUCAUGGAGACAAUCAGACAAUUUCCACAAUUCUGGGAGCAACUCAACAUUCUUGCUUAUAAUCUCCUGCAAUUUACAGUCAGCGCCAAAGUUUUGAGGCAAGCCAUCUGGAAAUGAAGAUUCAACAAUGUCCAGAACAACUUUGCAAGACUGAGCAGCUUCUGCAAGAAUGAUUAAAAAUAUACAUAAGCCAUGCAGUGAUGGCCUGAUUUCAAGCAAAGUACACAUAUUCCUUUGUUCAUUUUACCCAUCCUAGAAUCCUAGGUAAAACACUCAAGACAAUGGUGAAGCAUAACAGAACAUUAUUUUAAACUGAAUUGGUUUGACGGUGACAACAUUACAAAAUGUCACAAAACAUAUUUAUAUUCUGCAAACAAGAAUGAAAAUGUGUAAAUGCGCUUAUUACCUUUAAACCUCCCAAUAGCCUCCAAUGAUUUUGCCUUCAGAAAUAUCGCUUCAAGAAGUAAAGUAACAGCAUUCAUAGACAACGGCGGAGUAGAAAAACUUUGAGAGCGCCUUUUACGACGCUCACCUCCUCUGGCAAGGGUGAUUUUUAUCUUCGGAGUCAAUGCACCAAUAUCUAUUGCUUCAAAUACAUGUAAAGCAGCUUCUAUGUUUCCUUUCUGAUAUUCGUAUCUUCCUAAUAGCGCUCUUGCUUCCUGAAAAUUCAAAAUUUAUACCUUAAAUUAAACAAACAACUUCCAAGGUCACCGUUAAAAAGAUUACAUAGCUACAGAUAGUCAGGUUCUAGAAAACAAACCUCAUAGUUCAAACAGCCACUCUCACGCAGAGAUGAUUCAGCUUCUUCUAUAUUGCCAGCUUUCAGUUUCUUUGUAGCCUCCCCAGCUCGCGACGAAGAUUCACUUGAUUUAUGAUCCUUGGUUGCAAUGGAUUCAUUUUCUGGAGGAACCAUUUCAUCUGCCGUUCUUAAUUGCUCUCCUGAACGGAAACACUUCAGUACCUUUCUAAAUUUCGAAGAAGGUUUACCCCUCCUCCCUGUUUCACUACUCCCCCUCUUCAUAAUGCUUCACUAUGCUCCAAAAUCUUAAACCACCAAAACCACCACCAACAAUAACUCAGGAACUUUUAUACGUAAAAUCGAAAUACAACGUUUAACUUGUAACUAUUAGACCAUGAUCAAAUUAAGAUAAAUAAUCAAUCACGCAAUCAAACACUAAACCUCGAACUUUUGCACAUAAUUACGAUAAUCACAACUAACUAAUCCUGCAUAUAACCACAUUUCCAACACUGGAAAAAUAACAUACUUACUAAUCAAAAUUAACAUACAGAAAAUUCAAGAGCAAUGAUAAACACUUAAAUUUAGAAAAAUUCAAUACCAAGACCCUAACUUUAUCAAUCACCAUAUGACAACACCAAUAAAAACAAAACCCCAUUAAUCCCACUUCAGAAACUCCAACAGCAUCAUCCAAUUCCCGCCCCCCACCCAACAAAACCCCUCAAUUGGCACCAUCCAGGACCAAAAGUCGAAACUUCACCAUAAAUUUCCAACACCACAGCCAAAACGACAAUCCCAAACCCAAGAAAUUGAUAAAAACGACCUUUAAUUGUACAAAACCCCGAUAAAAAAAGCAAUCAAUCACCAAUCACCUUUCGUUUUUGCAAAGCAGAAAAGCAGAGGAGGCCAAUGCAUUACUCCCACUACAGUUUGAUUCCAAUUCCCUUUCUACCCUUCUGAUUGCUUGCUUCGGAGUGUGAUUUGGGGAAGACAAGGGCAUUGAAAUUUUUUGAAUUGGAAGCGUGCGGUUGAAGAUUUUGCCGAGGGUUAAGAAAUUGAGGGAUUUAGAAUUAAAGAAAUAAAAGAAAGUUGGGGGUUUUUGGAAGUUGUAUGCAUAUGGGACGGAACGGGACGGUAAGGAACCGAGAGGAGAGGGAGUAAAAAUGUUCUCGGAUGGAAACAGGAGUAAGAAGAAGACGGAGAUGUUAUAACUUUGUGUUCUACGGAUGUGGGAUGUGGAACGAGUCGUUCCAAGGAGGUGAGACGGAAUGAAAAUUCACCCAAAAUUUGUCAUGUGAAACAACGCGUUCCACCCAUUUUAAACUCACCAAACGUAGGAUGGAAUGUCUCGUUCCAUUCUAUUCCAUCUCAUCCCACGUACCAAAUGAUACCAAAGACCCGCCGGUGUAGAAUCUAUUUACUUUUUACCACGGCGGCUGAGGCUCAUUGUUCGCCACGUGGAAAAACGGUGGCGUUUUAUGACGCGUCGUUGGCGUUAAACGGGAUUAACAACACCAUUCCAAAGCCGGCUGUUAUUUCUCAUUCUUAACAUUCUUUCCCGCUAAUUUUCUUACGUAUCUUCUAGAUUACGUUGAUGAAGGGUUAGACACAUUGUCCUAACUCAAAUUAUCAAACGUAUAUACUAUUUAAACACACAAAAUUAAUUUUAGGUUGAAUGUCGUAUUUUAAUAUCGUUUUAUAGUAGACAGUCAAUGUGUUGAGUUGACAAUCUAUGUACUUUUACAAAACUCAAUAUAUGUAUUCAACAUGUUAUGUUUAAACAAUUUGAUACGUGAGGAAGUAUAUUGAAAGUAAGAAUCUCAUCAAUAGGUAAACAAUAUAUUUAACUAUGGUCAGAUUCGCUAAUGUAUGCAACAUAUACUCGUUGCACCAGGGCCGGCCCUAAGUAUUGAGGGGCCCUAUGCAAAAUUUAGAUGGAUGCCCUUCAUUUUUUUUAUAAUUAUUUUUUUCAAUUUUUUCAUCUAUAGAACUAAACUAUUACUAGUUACUACAACAAAAAUAAGUUGUUUGAUCGGCUAUGUAUUUUUCCUUACCUUCAAAGGUCCUGAGUUCGAUACAUGUUGGAUGCGUUUUUGUUAUCUUCUUUUUAAGUUUACAAAUUUGCAAAAACUUAUAAUAGCAAAACAAUAUCAUAGGGAUUCGAACACAGCACAAGGUAUAUAAGGAAAAAGAGCUAAACCGCUAGCACUAGAACCACAUAUAUAAUUGUUUUUUGCAUCUAAUCUAUUUUAUAUGCAUCUGUAUACAUGUAAUGAAAAUUUGGGAGCCCUUCUGAAUCGGGGCCCUGUGCGGUGGCACCUGUUGCACACCUUCAGGGUCGACUCUGCGUUACACAUAAGUAGUAAUUAAUUAGCACAAAUUUGAAUUUCAAUACCGAAUUUCUUUUUGUCGUCUUGCAUGCAUCUGUUUAUUUAUUUAUUUAUUUUUUAAAUAACUAUUAUUUUAUUAAGGAAAAGGGGAUGACUCAAAAUUAUUACAAUAAUUUAAAGAAUGAGGAGUUUCGAAUAUGAGACGCAUAGAUAUAAACCCAACAUCCUAUCCACUAGGAUAUUGGACCACAUGCUUAUAUUUUUUUUUGUACAACAACCCACACCCAAGACUUUGUUACAACUUACAAGUUUCAAAGGGCAAGAGGGAAUUCGAACUCUGAUCUUGAGUAUAGAGGAAAAUAUUACCUGCCAUUAGAGCUAAACACUUCGGUCUUGCAUGCCUCUGUUUGUCAUUUGAUUCACUUUUGAUUUAUUCAUCCUUGUGAUUACAAACAAGAAGAGUAGGGCAACGAAUUUUAAAGAAAAAAAAGUGCGAAAAUCAAUCCUUUUAUUUUCAACACUAUAGUAUAUUAACAUCCUAACUACGAUGCAAUACUACUUUGUCAUCCUUCCAAGCACUAUAAAGUUAAGACUAUAGUUUUUUUUCUCUCUUCAUUUCAAACCAAACUUAAUUCGCUCAUUCGCUACUUAUAAAAUAAAUUUGUAUAGAAUAUUGAAAAGAGGUUAUAAAUUUGAAUCUCUCAACUUUGUUUAUUUCAAAUCGAGAAAUUAAAAUAAAAAUCUACUUACGAUUCUAAUUAAGUAUAUAUGUUCCUCAUAUCAAAACAAAGUUAUUUCUCUUUUGAGAGUAACCUAAUCCAUUAGUUAUUUCGUUAGCAUGUUAUAUUUUUAUUAAUUUCAAUUCAUUUAUGUUAAUAUAUCUCAAGUUCCAUAUCCUAUUUGGAAUAUUACUUUUAUGUGACAACUAAUCAUAUUCAAAUUGGACUACCCCUUUCACAAAGUAUAAACUUUCAAGAGUGCAUUGCACUUAGAAAAAGUCGUAACAAAGUUCAUGUUUUUGCCUACAACAACCCUACACCUAAGAUUUUGUUACAAGUGAGAUCAAACGGCGAGAGGAGAUUCGAACUCCGAUCUUGAGUGUAGCAGUAAAUAUUUCUAAUUAUUACAGCUCAAUAUGCUUUGUAAAAGUCAAAUUUAAUUGAACUUAACCAAAUUAUCAUAAUCUUUUCCUCUUAUUCAAUUGUAGUAUCACGAAUCGAAGACAAUCGUUUGCCACAUCGGAUGGUGUGAGUGAAAUCAUUUUUAGACAAUAUGAAGCACGUGGCACAAAAACUUACAUUAAAUUGGGGUUAAACAGGGGAAUUGGAUUCCAUCCGGAUCAAUUCCUACAUCUUAGUCAUUCAUCGUGUAUCGUGUGGUUAUAAAUAAUUCGAUUUAAAAUUAAACACAAAUAUUAUCUGACGAAAAUUGACCGUACAAUAUAACUAUAAACGGCUAAGAUGUGAGAAUCCUUAAAAUUCCCACAAAAUGGAUAUGGAGAGGAUCCCUUUCCUUAAACAGAAUCUAAUCCAAACCUUUUUUGACCUGCCAACUCCUAGCCUCCAUAUAAAGCAUAGGGGUAUUUACGUCAUUCUUUACAUCCGGGCAUUCUCGUAGUUUCUUGUACAAUCAUGGGCAAUCCUUCAACUCCACAUCUAUAAAUAUAGAGAACCCAACCCCUUCUCCCAUUCCUCAAUCAUAUUUGUUUUCCCCUCUCUCAGUUCUUCUCUCUCUCCUCAAUCUUUCUCUCUCUAGCUUCUCUCUUCGAUACAAUCUUUCUCCAGAUUCCGGCCACUUUGCCGUACGUCCGGCCACUUUCCCGUACGGCCUCUCCUCUCCCACCCAAAUCUUAUCUUCUUUUUUUCUUUUAAUUUAAAUUUUUUGUUUAUUUGUUUGGUGGGUCCUGAAUUUUUUUAAAUUCCCUCUUUUGUCCCAGAGUCAGUUUCCUUUUUGCUGUGAAGUCACCGUUUUACCCCUCAAUCGGUGACGUUUUGGUUUUUACUCCCAAAAACUUUUAUUUUUAAUCGGAUUUGUUAUCCUUCUUGGGUUGGAUUUGUGGUCCAUUUUUUUAUGAACUGCUGCUGCACACGUGGCAUGCACACAGAGAGCGAUCAUAUGAACACCAAAACGAUGCGUUUGCCACCUCGUCGGAUUUCGACGACCAAUGCGUCAAAUAAUACCAACAGCAACAACAAGCGCAAGGAGAAGGAGGGUGACUUCGACGCGCUCCAGCGGACCAAGACGCUCAAGCUGUCCCCACCACCCCAAGCCAAGCCGUCCGAGCCAGCCCAGCCGCCCGGUCAGCUCCUGGCUGGCUAUCUGGCGCACGAGUUCCUCACCAGGGGCAGCCUCCUCGGGCAGCCGUGGGACCCGUCCCGAGCCGAGCCGGCUCCUUCGGGAGUCAGCAGCAGCAAGAUCGAAGCCGAGCCGAAGUUCGAGAGCUUGGAGAGAUACGUGGAAGUCGCUGAUUUGCUGAAAACGGAGGGGGCCCACUUGGCUGGCGUUGUGAAUCCAACUCAGCUCGCUGGGUUUUUACAGUUGUGAGGCAAAGGAGAGCUUUGUGGGGGACGCGCGGAGUGCAAGGAUUAAAAAUCCAUCUGGCAUUUUUGGCUCCAAAUAUGGAAAUUAGGAUUUCUGUAGGGGGCAAAAUGCAAAAGAAAAAAUGUUUAGUAGUUGCAGGGGCUUUUAGGUAGGCAUUGCUUUAUGAAUGUGUGUCUCUCUCUUGUCAUCCAAAUGUAUUAUAAAAUGUCCUCUUGUCAUCCAAAUGUAUGAUAAAAUGUCAUUUCAAUUUAACAGAUCGUUUUUU
This 18397-nucleotide long non-coding RNA is filed under the name Malus domestica (apple). RNAcentral describes it as "long non-coding RNA (MDOM_LNC005095)". Lineage: Eukaryota; Viridiplantae; Streptophyta; Magnoliopsida; Rosales; Rosaceae. The record is from RNAcentral.